Molecule: transfer RNA, 83 nt
Filed under: Phycisphaeraceae bacterium
Lineage: Bacteria; Pseudomonadati; Planctomycetota; Phycisphaerae; Phycisphaerales; Phycisphaeraceae
Description: tRNA-Tyr
Rfam family: tRNA
About the family: Transfer RNA (tRNA) molecules are approximately 80 nucleotides in length. Their secondary structure includes four short double-helical elements and three loops (D, anti-codon, and T loops). Further hydrogen bonds mediate the characteristic L-shaped molecular structure. tRNAs have two regions of fundamental functional importance: the anti-codon, which is responsible for specific mRNA codon recognition, and the 3' end, to which the tRNAs corresponding amino acid is attached (by aminoacyl-tRNA synthetases). tRNAs cope with the degeneracy of the genetic code in two manners: having more than one tRNA (with a specific anti-codon) for a particular amino acid; and 'wobble' base-pairing, i.e. permitting non-standard base-pairing at the 3rd anti-codon position.
Source: RNAcentral
GGGAGUGUGCCGGAGUGGUCAAUCGGGGCAGACUGUAAAUCUGCUGGCUUAUGCCUUCAUAGGUUCGAAUCCUAUUACUCCCA